UACAGAGGUGGCAAGCGUUGUUCGGAAUUACUGGGCGUAAAGGGCGCGUAGGCGGCCUUCUAAGUCAGACGUGAAAUCCCCAGGCUUAACUUGGGAACUGCGUCUGAUACUGGGAGGCUUGAAUGCGGGAGAGGGAUGUGGAAUUCCAGGUGUAGCGGUGAAAUGCGUAGAUAUCUGGAGGAACAUCGGUGGCGAAGGCGGCAUCCUGGACCGACAUUGACGCUGAGGCGCGAAAGCCAGGGGAGCAAACGGG
RNAcentral lists this ribosomal RNA (253 nucleotides) under uncultured bacterium. RNAcentral describes it as "partial 16S ribosomal RNA". It matches the Rfam family "Bacterial small subunit ribosomal RNA", at positions 524 to 776 of the family's 1533-position model. The record is from RNAcentral.